Molecule: long non-coding RNA, 4954 nt
Organism: Callithrix jacchus (white-tufted-ear marmoset)
Lineage: Eukaryota; Metazoa; Chordata; Mammalia; Primates; Cebidae
Source: Ensembl
CGCGCAGGUCCUUCGCCGCCCUCCUCCCCCGGAAACCGAGCGUGCGCUAGGAGUUCCGCAGGACAGUUCUGUUCCGGACCCAGCGCUCAGACUGCGCGCCGCCACCGGGGGGCAUCAGGCCUCGCUGGGGAUUCAGUGGCUGAGACCCCGAAACUCCGAGCCCGGACGCUUACCUGUGCGCGAUAGGUGGGCGUGGUGAGCGACCCAGAGCUUCAGGGCCCCCAGGGCGGCCGGCCUGCCUGCCACCCACCGCUUGGUCUCCGCAGGGAAACAGAGUCCCACAGGCGCCGUCGCCCCCUGCCCUCCAUGGGUUCGAUCCCGGCCACUCGGGUGAAGCGCUUGCUUCCCUAAAAGAAUACAAGGAUUUCUGAGGCGGGGAGGGGAUGCGGAAAGGCGUCUUCUGUUUUGUCAGCGAUGACAACUUCUAGCGCGUGGCUUAACUUUCAGUUGUGCCUGGUAGAGAAGAUGAAUCACAGAAAGGCUAAUAUUUGGCUCAAGGUCAUACAAAAUGCUAAUACAGCAUCUGGGUUCAUUGGAAACACCGGAGAAUGCAGAAAAUUCCAGGACUCCCGAAACUGGCAUGUGUCCCUUAAAACACUCUGAAUUAAGCACCUGCAGCAGCCACACCAAAUCUUUCAUUUCAUAGCUUUGUGGACACUGCGAGAAUUCAGCUCCCAUUCUUAAAAAUUCAAAGAUGUACUAAUCCCUCAAACACAUGUUAAUAUGGAUUUUCUUUGAUGAAAAGGAACAAAUUUUACAAAAAAAAAGUUCGCAAAAGUAAACUUUUUCCUCGGUCCUUCAUCCUAUUUCAGAGCAAGAAAACCUAUUAGACUAAUAGCAAGCUCAUUUUGAGUCUUUUAGGAGGGGGCUUAUUGUUCCUUGGGAGUAGAGUUUGAGUUGAUUAAGGUAACGCUCCUUUGCUGAAACAAGAUACUUUCCUUCAGAACCUCUUCCCCUUAAUUAUGUGUAAUUUUUUUUUUCUGUUCCUUCAUUGUUGUUUUAAAUUCUCAACCUGGCCCACCUUACUACUCAUCCCUUAGCUUUGACACUUGCCUGCCUUCCUUCCCCUCCCCACCAUCCAAUCUUGACCUGUCCUGGGAAGAAGACACAGAUGGGUCCUGAUCACCCCAAAGCCACCUACAGCCACUGACUAACUCCUGAAAUGUAGUAUCGUGAGAGGGAAAAAGCCAGAUUCGAUCCCAGCUCUUUCCUUUGUAGCCCUAUAACCUAAAUCAAGCUGAAUUAUAAUUUACUUAUCCAUACUCUCUCUUGCUCUCUCGCCCUCUCUCUCGCUCUCUCGCCCUCUCUCUCUUUGCUGUACACUUAAGAUAUUUAAAAUAUUUUGCUGCAGUGAGCAUCUGUCUAUGUAAUAUCUGCGCACUGGUGUAAGUAUUUCUUCAGAAAAUGUUCCUAGCAAUGGAACUGCUUGGUCAAGUUUACAUGCAUAUGGCAUUUUGAUAGAGACUGCCGAAGUGUCCAUCAAAGCCAUUACCACACAAGACAUAGCAGAAAUAUGUUUCUUUUAGAUAACAGUUGUGAAUAUUAUCCUGGUGGCAAAAGGCGACACUUUCAUGCAUCUUUGCAUUUGUGACUGAACUCAAGAGUCACACCCUCUAAUCUUCUGCCUUUUCUGUUUCAUAUUCAAGGCUUGAUCAAACCCGGCCUGGCACUUAUCUACUGGGGUCAUCACGGAGGAUACAAACCCAGAGCCCAUAAUUUCAACUGCUUGUCAAUCUCUCAUCCAAAGGGCUGGAUUUUAUCUCUAAAUCCUUUUAUUACCUUUUCCAACACAAAUGCAUAACUAUAAUUAGAAUGAGUUGAUCUAGCUGGACCUUUCUUAGUACUUUCCUCUUGAUUCCCUGUCUCCUAAUUGUUUUUACAUUUUUUAUUGUUGUUUUACAUUGCACAAACACCGUAGUCUCCCUGUCAAAAUUGAAACAUUAAGAAUAUUUAGGGAGUAAAGCAUAAAAGUCUUCCUUCUUCAUCUUGUUGUACUAUCUAUACAUCUAUAGCUGUAUCUCAGAUAUUAUUUUGUAACCCAUUAUUUAAUAUCUAACUGUUCCAUACUGAUGUUAUUUGAGUUGCUCAAACUAAUUCGUAAGUAGAAGUGGUAAGGCAAUGAAAUACAAGGACAAGAAGAAUCAAGAAAAAGUAACUCCCUGAACAAUUCUCUCUGUGACAACUGUGGGAGUAUUUUGAUAACUGUUGGCAACAGGACACUGCAUGUGACGUGGGGAGGGAAAUCUUGGCAUUCAAACAAGCAAAUGGUUUGGCGACAGUUUAUUAAAUUUCUGCCAUGCUUGCAAAUGCCAGUAGCAAUUUCUCAGACUGCAGAAUUGCUACACAUGACAGGUUUGAAAAUGUUUCACAAUCGUCAUCAAAUAAUUCAUCCUUCAAAAUUAAAAAUUAUAUGAACUCUGAAUAAUCAUCACUUCUAAAACAAAUGUUCUGCUGGAGUUUAUGUAUUUCAUUUGUGCAUUUUGAAUGCUUCUCUGCUAUAGAAUGAGGAAAGCAAAGCAUCCAGAUAAAAUGAUAUGUAAUUCAGUCUUACCAGGAGAUUUCUAUCAGACUAUUAAAUCUUCUUCGGGCAAAAAUAGUCCUCGUUACUAAAUCUUCUUCAGGCAAAAAUAGUCCUGGCUUCUUCUUUUAUUUAUAGCUAUAAAUGCCUACCUUUUAAAAGACUUUAACAUUACACUUGAAGGAGCUAAAAUAAGAAGAGAAAACUAAACCCAAAGCUAGUAGAAAAAAGCAAAUUAUAUAGAUUCAAGCAAAAACCAAUGAAAUAGAUACUAGAGAAACAAUACAGAAAAUCCAAACAAAAAGUUGAUUUUUUGAGAUGUUAAACAAAAUUGGCAACUCUUCAGCUACUGACAAAGAAAAGAGAAUAUAUAAAUUAUUAAAAAUCAGUAAUGAAAGUGGUCGCAUCACUACCAAUCUUACAGAAAUAAAAUGGAUUAUAAGGAAAAUGAUGAACAACUGUAUGCUAACAACUUAGAAAACUUGGAGGAAAUGGCCAAAUUCCUAGAAAGAUACAACUACCAAAAGUGGAGUGGAAGAAAUAGAAAGUCUGAAUAGGCCUACACGAAAUAAAGUACUCAAAUUAGUCAUUUUAAAAUUUUCCACCAGAAAAAGACCAGGUCCAGAUGGCUUUACUGAAAAGAUCUGCAAAACAUUCAAAGGAGAAUUAAUACCAGUUCCUUACAAACUCUUUCAAAAGGUAGAAGAAGGGGGAACACUUUCUAACUCACUUUAUGAGGCCAGAACUAGAAUUACCCUGAUGCCAAAACCAAAGGAAUCACAAGGGAACGGAACAAAGUAAAACUACAGACCCACAGCCCUUAGGAAUAUAGAAGCAAAACUCCUCAACAGAAUAUUAGCAAACUUAACCCAGCAACAUAUACAAACAUUUUAACAUAUCAAUGUAAUCAACGUGUAAUAUGCCAUGUAAUAGAAUAAAGAAUAAAAACUACAUGAUCAUCUAAAUGAAUACAAAAAAGAUGUUUUACAACAUCCAACACCCUUUCAUGAUUUAAAAAAAAUGCUCAAUAAAUUAGGCAUAGAAGGGAAAUUGCUCAACCUCAUAAACAUUCAACAAACUAGGAAGAAGCAUGAAAAGCAGUGACAUGCCCAACAUCAUUAACCUCAAGGAAAUGCACAUAAAAGCACAAUGAGAUACUACUUUAUACCUGCUAGGAUGGCUAUAACAAAAGAGGCAGAUAUUAACAAGUAUUAGUGAGGAGGUAGAUAUAUUGGAACCCUCACACACUGCCUGUGGGAAUGUUAAGUAGUAGAGCUUCUUUAGAAAACAGGCUGGCAUUUCUUCAAAAUGUUGAACAUGGAGUUAUCAUAUAACCUAGCAAUUCAAUUUCUACAUAAAUACCAAGAGAGUCCAGGUACAGUGGUUCAUAUAUAUAGUUCCAGCACUUUGGGAGGCUGACGCGAGAGUAUCACUUGAGCCCAGAAGUUUGAGACCAGCCUCGGCAACAUAGUGAGACUCUGUCUCUUAAAAAAGAAAAACAGACCAGGCACGGUGGCUCAUGCCUGUAAUCCCAGCACUUUGGGAGGCCGAGGCAGGUGGAUCACGAGGUCAAGAGAUCAAGACCAUCCUGGCCAACAUGGUGAAACCCCGUCUCUACUAAAAAUACAACAACAAAAAAAUAGCUGGGCACGGUGAUGCGUGCCUGUAAUCCCAGUACUCAGGAGGCUGAGGCAGGAGAAUUGCCUGAACCCAGGAGGUGGAGGUUGCGGUGAGCCGAGAUUGCGCCAUUGCACUCCAGCCUGGGUAACAAGAGCAAAACUCCAUCUCAAAAAAAAAAAGAAAGAAAGAAAAAAAGAAGAAGAAAAACAAAACCAAGAGAAAUGAAAAUGUAUGUCUAUAUUAAAAAUAGUACAUACAUAUUCACAGCAGUAUUAUUCAUAGUAGACAAAAAGUGGAAAUAAACCAACUGCCCAUCAACUGAUGGAUGGGAAACAGAAUAUGGUAUAUCCAUACAACGUAAUAGUAUUCACAAAUAAAAAGAAAUGAAGUACUGAUAUAUGCUAUGACAUGGAUGAAUCUGGAAAAUAUUAUGUUAAAUGCAAGAAAUCCAUCACAAAAAAAAACAUGUAUCGUAAUAUUUCACUUCCAUUAAAUGUACAGAAUAGGGAAAGCUACAGAGACAGAAAGUAGAUAUGUAGCUGAUUAAGACUGGAGAAGUGGGCUGGGAAACAGGGAUUGACUGCUAAUGGGUACUAGGUUUCUUCUAGGAGGGACCAAAAUGUUCUAAAACUACAUGCAGUGAUGGUUGCACAUCCCUGUAAAUAUAUUAAACAAUAUUAUAUUUACACUUUAAAUGGGCGAAUUGUAUGGUAUGUGAAUUACAUCUCAAUAAAGCUGUUAAGAAAAUUUCUGACCUGUUUGGCUGAACUUCAGAGAGGAUGCCUAAUUGCUAGUCUGUUAGUCAUGACGCUUGCC